This 468-nucleotide ribosomal RNA is filed under the name uncultured bacterium. Its description in RNAcentral is "partial 16S ribosomal RNA". It matches the Rfam family "Bacterial small subunit ribosomal RNA", at positions 28 to 507 of the family's 1533-position model. The record is from RNAcentral.
GACGAACGCUGGCGGCGUGCUUAACACAUGCAAGUCGAACGGAAAGGCCCUGCUUUUGUGGGGUGCUCGAGUGGCGAACGGGUGAGUAACACGUGAGUAACCUGCCCUUGACUUUGGGAUAACUUCAGGAAACUGGGGCUAAUACCGGAUAGGAGCUCCUGCUGCAUGGUGGGGGUUGGAAAGUUUCGGCGGUUGGGGAUGGACUCGCGGCCUAUCAGCUUGUUGGUGGGGUAGUGGCUUACCAAGGCUUUGACGGGUAGCCGGCCUGAGAGGGUGACCGGCCACAUUGGGACUGAGAGACGGCCCAGAGUCCUAUGGGAGGCAGCAGUGGGGAAUAUUGCACAAUGGGCGGAAGCCUGAUGCAGCAACGCCGCGUGCGGGAUGACGGCCUUCGGGUUGUAAACCGCUUUCGCCUGUGACGAAGCGUGAGUGACGGUAAUGGGUAAAGAAGCACCGGCUAACUACGUG